This 504-nucleotide ribosomal RNA is filed under the name uncultured bacterium. RNAcentral's name for it is "bacterial SSU rRNA". It matches the Rfam family "Bacterial small subunit ribosomal RNA", at positions 11 to 504 of the family's 1533-position model. The record is from RNAcentral.
GUUUGAUCCUGGCUCAGAGUGAACGCUGGCGGCAGGCCUAACACAUGCAAGUCGAACGGCAGCACAGGAGAGCUUGCUCUCUGGGUGGCGAGUGGCGGACGGGUGAGGAAUACAUCGGAAUCUACCUUGUCGUGGGGGAUAACGUAGGGAAACUUACGCUAAUACCGCAUACGACCUACGGGUGAAAGCAGGGGACCUUCGGGCCUUGCGCGAUUGGAUGAGCCGAUGUCGGAUUAGCUAGUUGGCGGGGUAAAGGCCCACCAAGGCGACGAUCCGUAGCUGGUCUGAGAGGAUGAUCAGCCACACUGGAACUGAGACACGGUCCAGACUCCUACGGGAGGCAGCAGUGGGGAAUAUUGGACAAUGGGCGCAAGCCUGAUCCAGCCAUGCCGCGUGGGUGAAGAAGGCCUUCGGGUUGUAAAGCCCUUUUGUUGGGAAAGAAAAGCAGCCGGCCAAUACCCGGUUGUUCUGACGGUACCCAAAGAAUAAGCACCGGCUAACUUC